Molecule: transfer RNA, 88 nt
Filed under: Pedinomonas tuberculata
Lineage: Eukaryota; Viridiplantae; Chlorophyta; Pedinophyceae; Pedinomonadales; Pedinomonadaceae
Description: tRNA-Ser
Rfam family: tRNA
About the family: Transfer RNA (tRNA) molecules are approximately 80 nucleotides in length. Their secondary structure includes four short double-helical elements and three loops (D, anti-codon, and T loops).
Source: RNAcentral
GGAGAGGUGCCCGAGUGGCCGAAGGGAGCACAUUGCUAAUGUGUCCACGAUCAAAAGUCGUGCGAGGGUUCGAAUCCCUCCCUCUCCG